GACGAACGCUGGCGGCGUGCUUAACACAUGCAAGUCGAACGGAAAGGCCCUGCGUUUGUGUGUUUCUCGAUUGGCGAACGGGUGAGUAACACAUGUGUAACCUGCCCUUGACUUUGGGAUAUCUUCACGAAACUGGGGCGAAUACCGCAUAGAAUCUCCUGCUGCAUGUUGUUGGUUGGAAAGUUUCGGCGGUUGGGGAUGGACUCGCAGCUUAUCAGCUUGUUUGUGGGGUAGUUGCUUACCAAGGCUUUGACGGCUAGCCGGCCUGAGAGGGGUACCGGGCACCUUGGGACUGAGAUACGGACCAGAAUCCUACGGGACGCAGUAGUGGAGAAUAUUGCACAAUGGGCGGAAGUGUGAUGUAGAAAUGCCGCGUGCGGGAUGACGGCUUUUGAGUUGUAAACAGAUUUGGAAUGUGACGAAGAGUGCGUGACGGUAAUGGGUAAAGAAGCACCGGCUAACUACGUG
RNAcentral lists this ribosomal RNA (468 nucleotides) under uncultured bacterium. Its description in RNAcentral is "partial 16S ribosomal RNA". It matches the Rfam family "Bacterial small subunit ribosomal RNA", at positions 28 to 507 of the family's 1533-position model. The record is from RNAcentral.